Molecule: long non-coding RNA, 10830 nt
Organism: Oncorhynchus keta (chum salmon)
Lineage: Eukaryota; Metazoa; Chordata; Actinopteri; Salmoniformes; Salmonidae
Exons: 7
Source: RefSeq, a predicted model, not a curated record
GACAUAGAUAGUAUGUGUUAAUGAAGGAGAAUUUCGACAUGACACUAGCCUGACACUACUGUAGUCUGGGCGUGUAUGACAACGACCUCAUUACAUGAGUGUUUCUAAUUCUGAUGCACAGUAGAAGAGGAUUAGAGAGAAUUGUUUCCGGUUAUGAUUCUGUAGGUUCUGUGCAUGUACUGUGUUCGAGUGAGGGGAGUGCAGAUCUCUUCAAUGCCCUAAAAAAAGCCAGCAACAUGUCAAAGCUAUCUGAGUGUGGUGGUUUGGCUGUCUACCUGUGACAGGCUUGCCUGUGCUGACUGAGCAGAGAGGAGGGCAGAAGGGGAGCUCUCACUGGAGUGAGACUAGAGAGAGGGCUUGGGAAAACAGGGCUGAGGGGCUGAUGGAGCUAACAGAGAUAUUUUGGUUUCUCAGGGGUCUGGGAGGAGGAGGUGUGAGGCCUUUGUUGGCCUGUCCAGUCAGCCUGUCAGGGAGAGAAGAAUCCUUACAAGCGCAGCGCGUGAGACCCUGGUUCACACUCAAUGGCCACACCGCAGGAAGCUGACAAUUUGACAUGCAAAGAGUGUUAGUCUGCUCUCGGACAGAGAUGGGGCAAUUGUUACAAGCCAAACUGCACGAAUGAACCGUGGACCUCAAACACGCAUGCUUUUACUUGUACACGCACACACAUGCACACACAUGCCCACACAUUCUCAAAAAAACACUAGUUCAUAUACAGAUUCAGACAUACUGAUAGCAGAGAAACGGUUAGAUGUUGGCAGUCAUAUACUGUAUCUCCUGUUAUGAACAAAAAUAUAAAUGCAACAUGCAUCAAUUGCACCGAUUUUACUGAGUUACAGUUCAAAUAAGGAAAUCAGUCAAUUGAAAUGAAUAAAUUAGGUCCUAAUCUAUUGAUUUCACAUGACUGGGUAGGCAUUCCUGCAGUCAGCAUGCCAAUUGCCACUCCCUCAAAACUUGAGACGUAUGUGACGUUGUGUGACAAAACUGCACAUUUUAAAGUGGCCUUUUAUUGUCCCCAGCACAAGGUGCACCUGUGUACGGAUCAUGCUGUUUAAUCAGCUACUUGAUAUGCCACACCUGUCAGGAGGAUGGAUUAUCUUGGCAAAAGAGAAAUGCUCACUAACAGGGAUGUAAACAAAUUUGUGCACAAAAUGUAAGAGAAAUUAGAUUUUUGUGGGUCUGGACAAUUUCUGGGAUAUUUUAUUUCAGCUCAUGAAACAUGGGACCAACACUUUAUAUGUUGCGUUUGUAUUUUUGUUCAGUAUUUUUUCACACAACACAAUGCCACAGAUGUCUCAAGUUUUGAGAGAGCGUGCAAUUGUCAUGCUGACUGCAGGAAUGUCCUCCAGAGCUGUUGCCAGAGAACUGAAUGUUAAAUUCUCUAUCAUAAGCUGCCUCCAACGUUGUUUUAGAGAAUUUGUCAGUACAUCCAACCAGACCACGUGUAUGGCGUCAUGUGGGCGACCGGUUUGGGGAUGUCAACGUUGUAAACAGAGUGCCCUAUGGUGGCAGUGGUGUUAUGGUAUGGGCAGGCAUAAGCUAUGGACAACGAGCACAAUUGCAUUUUAUCGAUGGCAAUUUGAAUGCACAGAGAUACUGUGAUCAGAUCCUGAGGCCCAUUGUCUCGCUAUUCAUCUGCUGCCAUCACUUCAUGUUUCAGCAUGAUAAUGCACGGCCUUAUGUCGCAAGGAUAUUUACACAAUUCCUGUGAGCUGAAAAUGUACCAGCUCUUCCAUGGCCUGCACACUCACCAGACAUGUCACCCAUUGAGCAUGUGUGGGAUGCUCUGGGUCGAUGUGUACAACAGCGUGUUACAGUUCCUGUCAAUAUCCAGCAACUUUACACAGCCAUUGAAGAGGAGUGGGACAACAUUCCAUAGGCCACAAUCAACAGCCUGAUCAACUCUAUGCGAAGGAGAUGUGUUGCGCUGCAUUAAACAAAUGGAGGUCACACCACAUACUGACUGGUUUUCUGAUCCACGCCCAAACCUUUUUCUAAAGGUACUGUAUCUGUGACCAACAGAUGCAUAUCUGUAUUCCCAGUCAUGUGAAAUCCAUAGAUUAGGACCUAAUGAAUUUAUUCCAAUUGACUGAUUUCCUCAUAUGAACUGUAACUGUAACUCUGUAAAAUCGUUGAAAUUGUUGGCUGUUGCGUUGAUAUUUUUGUUCAGUAUAUUUAUAUUGCAGUUUUGACAUGAACAUACAGUAACUAAGGCCUGGAGAGUUUCUGGUCAUGUCUCUGUCCCUAGCCGGGCUACAGUAACACUACACUAUAGUAUGAGCUGAGGAACAACAUCCUAACCGCUAUAUUAGCAGUUGUGAUCCUGACCUUGAGAGGGGCCAGAAACAGGGGGAGGAGGUGGAGGGGGAUGUUCACCUAUGCCCACACUGGGCCCAGGCUGGCUGGGGUUGGGGUGUGUAAAAGCUCUCUCACCCCCGGAGCUACUCAACUUCCUCUCCAAAGGCCCGGAUCAGCACUUAGCCUCUGAGAGGUCCCGCGCUUCGCCCCACAAUGGGAAAUUCUUACACAUAAAUGGGGUUAUUCAGAAAGGUUUCGAAGCAGCUGGUGCGAUCCGCUCAAGAAAAUAAACAUUUCCUUCAAAUAUUUUGAUUGGCUGGUGGACAACGUCAAUACCAGCGGCACAGAUUACCCCUGUUAAUAUGAGUCUCAGCCCCCUGGGUGGGGAUAGAGAUUGGGGGAAGGGGGUAGGUGCAUUAGGGGUAGAAGACGACGGCUGCGUCACAAAUAUGAACGUUUUUGGGGUGGCAUCAGUGAUGGCUGGGAAGACACAAAUAAACGCAUGCUCUGCUUUUUGAAGUGCAUUUGGAGAUGAAAGGGCCAAAAUGGCGUCUGUCCUCAUGACUCCGGAUUCGGCAGCGCCUCAGAGACAUGUAAUGCGCCUGUCGUAAUGAAGCGUGUCAUUGAGACACAGUGAAUGCUGGGCCUUGUGCUGGCUUCCUGUUUCGCUUAGGCCCUAGGCGUCACCACGGAGAGAUAGAAUGUGAGAGAGAGAGUGAGAGAGAGAGAGACGCCAGCGAGGAAGGGAGAGGGAGAGAGCGUGUUAAAGAGCGAGUGAGAGGGGAGGAACAUGGCCUUGGCUCAGCUAUGUGGGACAUUUGAUAUGUCUUUUGAGCCCUCACUUAAACAUGAGUAAAAACAAACACAUCGACUGAAAAAUCCUAUGUUCUAUUUGAAAGCCCCCUGCCCUGCCUCCCUUUCCCCUCUCCUCAGACUCAAUAGAGACUGUUCAUUGCGCACAUGUAGUUUCUGUAAUUGCUGAAAUGUAAAGCUCGACCCGGCUCUGAUGUUAAAUUAUAACUAACACAAACAGUUGAGUCUGGGGAAAAAAAGCUCUCUUUUCUCUUUUUCCAGCUUACUGUUUAGAGAUGGCUUCAAAAGAGUUUUUUUUAAAUUGGAGAACAAAAACAUUUUCAGUUUGAAUAAUUCAGAUCUAACUAAGGUCACAAAAACAGAGUAACCACAAGUGCAGCUCUUAGGCACCAUAACAAAUAAACCCCAUGGCGACCAUUGAUAUAUUAUGUAAAUACAGCGCUGGAGAAGUAAAACAGAAUCUCUCGUCGCUGGUCUGGAUUCCCGCUAGUUUUGGUUGCAUUUGGCCUGAGAGCUCCUUUCCUGUAUGGGUUUGGCACGGACCAGCAUGCAUUGCUGCCCAAAUGGAGCUUGGAGCCAACAGCAUCUCCACCAGACUCACAGCAUGGCCACCUCUCUCUGGUCUUGUCCUGACAGACAGUCAAUGACCCACAAACCAACACAAUAACCUAGUAAGCACAUCUGGUACUAAACAGAGACAUGGAGGCACGAUGCUUUGACCUUUCCCUCUAUAAGCAUGUGCUAUGUGCCCGGCUGCAUGUUCCAGGGACUGGCAUACUUGUGUCUUACAGUGACUCUUUGUUGGUUAUAAUUGGUUGAUAAUGUCCUGCUGGGUGUUGGUUUUGGUUUUGAGGUUUGAGGUAGACACAGAUCCAGGAUCAGAUUACCCAACUCCACAUCCUAACAUUUACCAUUAGGAGGAUUAAAUAAUAUCUGACCCUGGACUAGCGGUUAGGGGCUCUGGGUCUGAUCAGGGCUGUUAGUGGUAGACUGGAGCAGGCAUUCGCUUGGGGGGCCAGCCGGCUUGUUUAUGUGAAGUAAACAGUGUGGUCACUGUGGACAGGAGAGGAGGGGUAGGACCUCCCUCUAGCUAGCAGGACUUUCACAACCAGAGAGAAUCCGGGAUAGAUUCACCUGUUUGACCUUUCACCACAGCAGAACUGCUGCAGAUGUAUGCCAUUGUAUCUACGGUAACUACCAGUAAAUUGUUUUAUUUUGACCCCUGCUAUUUUGUAACCUAUACCAUACAGGUGCCACGGCUUAGCAUUCGACCUUGUGAACAGUAUUAUAUCAUUAAUACAACUAGAGUGUGUUUUAUCACUCACAGCCAACACACACACACACACACACACACACACACACACACACACACACACACACACACACACACACACACACACACACACACACACACACACACACACACACACACACACACACACACACACACACACACACACACACACACACACAGUUUAUUGGGCCCUCAUCAAAGCAGUGGAGCACUUGACUAGAUGGCCGAAAGGUAUGCUAGUAUCUGAUAUUCAUCUCCAGUCAGAAAAACACAGGUGUUGGAACAAAUAGCAUGUUAAAUGAUACUACCUCAAAAGGCAAAAUACUUUCUUUGGGAUGAUUCAAUUGCUGCUGUCUUUUUUUCUUAAAACACAUUUAAGUUAAAAGAGCAACUUUGUUCUGGUGAGCUUGUUUAGUUUAGUCUCCUUUUGAAAAGGGAAAGAGGAAAACUGAAAUCAGGAUUAUUUCUGUAGCAUCCCGUUGAGAUCAAAUCUUUUUUCCAUUUAAUCUUAACAUCUUUGUCUGGCUGGUAAGACUGGAAUGAGCUGUAGAUUUUAUACCCAGGGUGUGUUAAGGAGAUGGCAUUCUCUAAAAAUCAUUAAAACACACAUACACACACCACACACCUGACAUUUAGUAAACCAGAAUAACAAUUUUGUUGUCGAUUGUCUGAGUGUGAGAUUUGCUUGACUGCCCUGGCAGAGCCACACACACAGCUCCCCACACGCCCUCCCGUAGGAUCAUUCCUCACGGCAGCCUCACCUGUGGUCACGGCUGAACAAAAACAAGCGGCUAGCCGAGCAAGCGCAGUGUCUGCCAGGGCUUGAAUCCUGUCACUGCAUGCGCUGUAAUGAGCUCUUAAUUAUCCUGGCUGUCUAGAGCGCUAGCAGAGCUUGCAACAUUGGCACGUAACUGUGUGUGUGGUGUGUGUUUGUUAGAACAUACUGUGUGUGUGUUUGUUACCACAUACUGUGUGUGUGUGUACGUCUGAGAAUCCUGCGCAGCGUUUAGCAGACGUCUCAAAAGCGUUGUGUUGACAACAACUCUGUCUCUGUUUCAUGGCUCAGACAACAAUAUGAAGCAAAGGGCUUCACUAGGAGAUAUUGUAUUUUCUCACGUUGUCGUCAGCUGGAAAGUCCAGGUUUAUGUGUGGAUAAUGGAAAACAUUGUUUUUUUGCAACAGCAAGAUGGGAAUCAAUGUAAUUAUAAAGUGUUGACGCCUCACUCAAUCUAUUACCCUGUGAUCCUCCGCAAAAUACAUCUCUGCCUGCGACGACUGCCAAAAGCAGAGGCGUGUGUCGUGUUUAUGUGUAAAUACAUCCCUGUUUCCAAAUGUAUUUAUCACAAAAGGUACUAUUUUAGUUUGAGCCGGGUUUGUAGUUGUGUGUUGUCUAAGCUGGCAUGGAGAUGCCCAGGUUUAUAUGUCACUGGGUAGCUGAGAGGAGGGUGAAUGUAUCUUCAUAGUUAUUGAAUUAUUAUGCAUGGAGAUGCCCAGGUUUAUAUGUCACUGGGUAGCUGAGAGGAGGGUGAAUGUAUCUUCAUAGUUAUUGAAUUAUUAUGCAUGGAGAUGCCCAGGUUUAUAUGUCACUGGGUAGCUGAGAGGAGGGCGAAUGUAUCUUCAUAGUUAUUGAAUUAUUAUGCAUGGAGAUGCCCAGGUUUAUAUGUCACUGGGUAGCUGAGAGGAGGGUGAAUGUAUCUUCAUAGUUAUUGAAUUAUUAUGCAUGGAGAUGCCCAGGUUUAUAUGUCACUGAGUAGCUGAGAGGAGGGCGAAUGUAUCUUCAUAGUUAUUGAAUUAUUAUGCAUGGAGAUGCCCAGGUUUAUAUGUCACUGGGUAGCUGAGAGGAGGGUGAAUGUAUCUUCAUAGUUAUUGAAUUAUUAUGCAUGGAGAUGCCCAGGUUUAUAUGUCACUGGGUAGCUGAGAGGAGGGUGAAUGUAUCUUCAUAGUUAUUGAAUUAUUAUGCAUGGAGAUGCCCAGGUUUAUAUGUCACUGGGUAGCUGAGAGGAGGGUGAAUGUAUCUUCAUAGUUAUUGAAUUAUUAUGCAUGGAGAUGCCCAGGUUUAUAUGUCACUGGGUAGCUGAGAGGAGGGUGAAUGUAUCUUCAUAGUUAUUGAAUUAUUAUGCAUGGAGAUGCCCAGGUUUAUAUGUCACUGGGUAGCUGAGAGGAGGGUGAAUGUAUCUUCAUAGUUAUUGAAUUAUUAUGCAUGGAGAUGCCCAGGUUUAUAUGUCACUGGGUAGCUGAGAGGAGGGUGAAUGUAUCUUCAUAGUUAUUGAAUUAUUAUGCAUGGAGAUGCCCAGGUUUAUAUGUCACUGGGUAGCUGAGAGGAGGGUGAAUGUAUCUUCAUAGUUAUUGAAUUAUUAUGCAUGGAGAUGCCCAGGUUUAUAUGUCACUGGGUAGCUGAGAGGAGGGUGAAUGUAUCUUCAUAGUUAUUGAAUUAUUAUGCAUGGAGAUGCCCAGGUUUAUAUGUCACUGGGUAGCUGAGAGGAGGGUGAAUGUAUCUUCAUAGUUAUUGAAUUAUUAUGCAUGGAGAUGCCCAGGUUUAUAUGUCACUGGGUAGCUGAGAGGAGGGCGAAUGUAUCUUCAUAGUUAUUGAAUUAUUAUGCAUGGAGAUGCCCAGGUUUAUAUGUCACUGGGUAGCUGAGAGGAGGGUGAAUGUAUCUUCAUAGUUAUUGAAUUAUUAUGCAUGGAGAUGCCCAGGUUUAUAUGUCACUGAGUAGCUGAGAGGAGGGUGAAUGUAUCUUCAUUGUUAUUGAAUUAUUUUAGCACUAGCCUUGAGCUACAAAGUCAUGAUGGUAAUAUCAGAGAUUAAGGUGUGUGGUUUUACAGUCCUCCACGCACGCACGCACACACACAGAGACACAGAGACAGACAGACACACACUCUUCAGAGAGGGCCCCUAGCACCUAAUUUGGAGCUCUAUACCUCUCAUCCCUGGCGGCUCUGAGCCACAUUAAUGUGUUGUGUCUAUGUUGGAGGUGUGUGUGUUUGUGUGUGGGGGUUUGUGCAUAUAUAUACGCCCCACGUGUUUGUGAGCGUGCCGUGUGUGUGUGUGUGUGUGUGUGUGUGUGUGUGUGUGUGUGUGUGUGUGUGUGUGUGUGUGUGUGUGUGUGUGUGUGUGUGUGUGUGUGCGCGUGUGUGUUCUACUGGUGCAGGUCUUUGAGAUCUGACAGGCCUAUGAAGAAGUAAUUCCUGCCCUAAUCCUCCUGGAGCUAUGCAGACAAGUACAGAGCCUUUCUUCACAUGCCAUCCCAGCAUUGUCUGUACACCUCUCCUGCUAGACAGUUUGGAGAUAUUAAGAAAUCCCUUAUGGAUAAGUCCCUCUGGAUAAGCUUACCUGCCAUGGCCCUUCCAUUGGCAGACAACACGCAGUAAAGUACGUACAGAACCCAAACUUAAUAUCAUGAAAUGUAUAUUGUAUCUCUGUCUAAAUGCCAACUAAUCCUGGUCCUACUGGUCCACAGCACUGGCAGAUGGUUUUCCUUGGCCAUGUUCAGUACAUUACACUUAUAGAGAGACAACAGCAUCAGUUAAACUAAGUCCAAGCUGGUUCUGAUAACCACAGUUGUGUAAGCUGAGCUGUACGAUAGGUAGGUCCACAGUGGUGAGUCAGGAGCACAAGGCUAAACCCCAUGAGAGAUACACUUCCACCCACAGAUAGCAAAACACUCCUAAACACACUGAUAGAGACUCAUUAACUGGGAAGUAGCCUUACUCUGUCUGUCAGCCUUAACCCCCUGCAUGAGAACUAGGGAGUGGGUGGAAGAGGACAGCGUGUAUGUGUGUGUGCCUCGUGUGUGUCUGUUCGUGUUUUGUCUGCACACAUCCAGACAUGCCAUCACGUUAAGAAGCUCUGACACACAGUACCAGUCAAAAGUUUGUACACACCUACUCAUUCCAGGGGUUCUUUAUUUUUACUAUAUUCUACAUUGUAGAAUAAUAGUGAAGACAUCAAAACUAUUAAAUAACACAUAUGGAAUCAUGUAGUAACCAAAGAAGUGAUAAACAAAUCAAAAUAUAUUUUAUAUUUGAGAUUCUUCAAAGUAGCCACCCUUUGCCUUGACAGCUUUGCACACUCUUGGCAUUCUCUCAACCAGCUUCAUGAGGUAGUCACCUGGAAUGCAUUUCAAUUAACAGGUGUGCCUUGUUUAAAGUUAAUUUGAGGAAUUCUUUCCUCAAUGUGUUUGGGCCAAUCAGUUGUGUUGUGACAAUGUAGGGGUGGUAUACAGAAGAUAGCCCCAUUUAUGGCAAGAACAGCUCAAAUAAGCAAAGAGAAAUGACAGUCCAUCAUUACUUUAAGACAUGAACGUCAUUCAAUAUGGAACAUUUCAAGAACUUUGAAAGUUUCCUCAAGUGCAGUCGCAAAAACCAUUAAGCGCUAUCAUGAAACUGUCUCUCAUGAGGACCACCACAGGAAAGGAAGACCCAGAGUUACCUCUGCUGCAGAGGAUAAUACAUCCAUUAGAGUUAACUGCACCUCAGAUUGUAUCAAGUAUCAGACACAUCUCAACAUCAACUGUUCAGAGGAGACUGUGUGAAUCAGGCCUUAAUGGUCAAAUUGCCGCAAAGAAACCACUACGAAAGGACACCAAUAAGAAGAUACUUUCUUGGGCCAAGAAACACAAGCAAUGGAGAUUAGGCUGGUGGAAAUCUGUCCUUUGGUCUGAUGAGUCAAAACGUGAGAUUUUUGGUUCCAACCGCCAUGUCUUGGUAAGACGCAAAGUAGAUGAACGGAUGAUCUCCGCAUGUGUGGUUGCCACCAUGAAGCAUGGAGGAGGAGGUGUGAUAGUGUGGGGGUGCUUUGCUGGUGACACUGUCAGUGAUUUAUUUAGAAUUCAAGGCACACUUAACUAGCAUGGCUACCACAGCAUUCUGCAGCGAUACGCCAUCCCAUCUGGUUUGAGCUUAGUGGGACUAUCAUUUGUUUUUCAACAGGACAAUGACCCAAAACACACCUCCUGGCUAUGUAAGGGCUAUUUGACCAAGGAGAGUGAUGGAGUGCUGCAUCAGAUGACCUGGCCUCCACAAUCACCUGACCUCAACCCAAUUAAGAUGGUUUGGGAUGAGUUUUACCAUAGAGUGAAGGAAAAACAGCCAACAAGUGCUCAGUAUAUGUGGGAACUCCUUCAAGACUGUUGGAAAGGCAUUCCAGGUGAAGCUGGUUUAAAGCAUGCCAAGAGUGUGCAAAGCCAUCAUCAAGGCAAAUGGAAAAGAAUCUAAAAGAAGAAGAAUCUAAAAUAUCAAAUAUAUUUUAACUUGUUUAAAAAAUGUUGGUUACUACCUGAUUCCAUAUGUGUUAAUUCAAAGUUUUGAUGUCUUCACUAUUAUUCUACAAUGUAGAAAAUAGUACAAAUAAAGAAACCCUUAAAUGAGCAGGUGUGUCCAAACUUUUGACUGGUACUGUAUGUCUGAGAGCAAACUUCCACCCACGUACCCCCUCUCCCCUAAGACACACACACCUCCUUCCCGCUGUCUCCAUUGCAGAUCUGCCCUGUUGUGCCAGUCAGUCUGAGACUGACGUGAUUGCGGAGGAAGCGGGCGGCUGUGAGAUUCCUGAGGCUGUAGAGUGGUGUGGUGAACCAGCUCCAGCCCCAGUGCCUUGGCCAGGCUGUUUGGCAGUGAUCAGGUUGCCACCUGGCCCCAGACUGGACCCUGUGACCGAUGCAGGGCAUCCGGGGACAGAGCUGGCAUGAGUGUGCGGCCCCUGCCAGUAAAUGUAUUGGACCCUCCCCCGGGUCUGGGCUCUCAUAUCAGUAGGGAGGGUUAUACUCAACCUGGGGCUUCAGCCUGCCACAUACAGGCUAACUCAGCCCAUAAAGUGAGAACAACACUGUCAGUUCAUUAUGUGUCACAGUCAGACCAUACAGGCUAACUCGGCUCAUAACACCACAGCCAUGAGCUGUUCACUCCCUUACCGUCAGGGCAGAUGAUAUUGGAGCAUGAGGUCUGAUACAGGCUCAGAGACAGUUUCUAUCUACAAGCCAUCAGACUGCUGAACGCUUGAACUGGACUGACCAAAUGGACCACCUGGACUGACCCCUGACUCUCUACACCUUAGCAAGCAUUCACACACACAUAAACUCCUGUAUUAUACUUAUUCCAAAAGGUUUAUUCUAUUCUACUGAGCCAUUUACUUUAUGUUCCUAUUCUUCUCUUUUAUUACUUCUUAAUGUUUUUUCAUUGUCCAGAAGGAAGCUGCAAGUAACCAUUUACUUGUAGUGUAUACCAUGUGUAUCCUGUACAUACGACUAAUAAAACUUGAAACUGAUAGCAAAGUCAGCUCUCACUGUCGGCAGGGAGAAGCAUUUGUACCGCUAACCCCUGUAUACAGUGCUGUAGCAGAAGGUGGAGUGUUUUGUGAUGAGUGAGCAACACUGACUUGGGACAGAUGGUGUGAGUGAGUCAGUGUGAUAGUUGUUCCUGUCUGGUCA